GUGCUUGCUUUGCAGCACACACACUAAAACUGUAAUGAUGCAGAGGACGAGCACGGCCCCUGGGCAAGGACUGCACUCAAAUUCCUGAAGCGUCCCGCAGUACA
Small nuclear RNA from Rattus norvegicus (Norway rat), 104 nucleotides. Lineage: Eukaryota; Metazoa; Chordata; Mammalia; Rodentia; Muridae. The record is from Ensembl.